GGAAGGGCGCCGGUGGCAGCCCGCCUCAUCUGCUGCUGCUGUCGACGGUGGCGUGGUGGCUGCGACGCCGAGGGUGGCGCGGCUUGUCGCUGCUGCUCCUCCGGCGAGCACCACGGAGGGCGGCUGUUACCAGCCGAAGAGAGAAAGGCAGAGAGGGCGAUGGAAGAGAGGUGUGCUGACGGUGGUGGCGUGGAGCCACUGACCGCGGCUGCCGAACCUAGAACAGGGGGAGUUGAGAGAGCUGGGGUUGAGAAUCGAGGGAGGACGGAAGAGGGAGGAUUGGCGACGGCGGCGGUGGCUUGAUGCUCCUGUUUCUCGUCGAUUCAGAGAGAGUCGGAGUCACCGGUCGGCGGCAGCUUUUGUUGUUGCGUCGCCGGAGAAUAGAGAGAGUAUGAGGGAUGGCGUCUGUGGGUGUUGGUGCGAUGAGGGAGAUGAGAGAGGGGAGAGCCGAGCGUCGUCAGCGGCUGCCGCUGUUGCUACGGCAAGCUUCGGCGGCGAUGGUGGCGGCAUGAAGCUGCUGCCGUCGGCCAGAGUUGAGCAAGGGCUCGGCGAGCCUGAAUCCGAGAGGGAGACAGAGACGGUGGUUGGUUCCAGAUGCUGCGG
Molecule: long non-coding RNA, 603 nt
Filed under: Salvia miltiorrhiza (redroot sage)
Lineage: Eukaryota; Viridiplantae; Streptophyta; Magnoliopsida; Lamiales; Lamiaceae
Description: long non-coding RNA (SMIL_LNC003304)
Source: RNAcentral